GCCGGGCAUGGUGGCGCAUGCCUGUAGUCCUAGCUACUCGGGAGGCUGAGGUGGGGGGGGGGUCGCCUGGGACCAGGAGUUCUGGGCUGUGGUGUGCCGUGCCAAUCAUGUGUCCUCACUGAGGUAGGCAUCAAUAUGGUGACCUCCUGGGAGCAGGGGACCACCAAGCUGCUUAAGGAAAGGUAAACUGCCCCAGGUUGAAAACAGAGCAGGUCAAAACUCCCAUGCUGAUCAGUAGUGGGAUCGUGCCAGUGAAUAGCCACUGCACUCCAGCCUGGGCAACAUAACGAGACCCUGUCUCCA
This 303-nucleotide signal recognition particle RNA is filed under the name Callithrix jacchus (white-tufted-ear marmoset). RNAcentral's name for it is "Metazoan signal recognition particle RNA (ENSCJAG00000073017.1)". It matches the Rfam family "Metazoan signal recognition particle RNA". Rfam says of the family: The signal recognition particle (SRP) is a universally conserved ribonucleoprotein. It is involved in the co-translational targeting of proteins to membranes. The eukaryotic SRP consists of a 300-nucleotide 7S RNA and six proteins: SRPs 72, 68, 54, 19, 14, and 9. Lineage: Eukaryota; Metazoa; Chordata; Mammalia; Primates; Cebidae. The record is from Rfam by way of RNAcentral.